This 73-nucleotide transfer RNA is filed under the name Bos taurus (domestic cattle). It matches the Rfam family "tRNA". From Rfam's summary of the family: Transfer RNA (tRNA) molecules are approximately 80 nucleotides in length. Their secondary structure includes four short double-helical elements and three loops (D, anti-codon, and T loops). The record is from Rfam by way of RNAcentral. Lineage: Eukaryota; Metazoa; Chordata; Mammalia; Artiodactyla; Bovidae. RNAcentral also lists the same sequence under 5 other names.
UCCCUGGCAGUCCAGCAGUUAGGACUCCAUGCUCUCACUGUGGAGGACUUGGGUUCAAUUCCUGGUUGGGGAA